GAUGAACGCUGGCGGCGUGCCUAAUACAUGCAAGUCGAGCGAACAGACGAGGAGCUUGCUCCUCUGACGUUAGCGGCGGACGGGUGAGUAACACGUGGAUAACCUACCUAUAAGACUGGGAUAACUUCGGGAAACCGGAGCUAAUACCGGAUAAUAUAUUGAACCGCAUGGUUCAAUAGUGAAAGACGGUUUUGCUGUCACUUAUAGAUGGAUCCGCGCCGCAUUAGCUAGUUGGUAAGGUAACGGCUUACCAAGGCGACGAUGCGUAGCCGACCUGAGAGGGUGAUCGGCCACACUGGAACGGAGACACGGUCCAGACUCCUACGGGAGGCAGCAGUAGGGAAUCUUCCGCAAUGGGCGAAAGCAUGACGGAGCAACGCCGCGUGAGUGAUGAAGGUCUUCGGAUCGUAAAACUCUGUUAUUAGGGAAGAACAAAUGUGUAAGUAACUAUGCACGUCUUGACGGUACCUAAUCAGAAAGCCACGGCUAACUACGUG
This 497-nucleotide ribosomal RNA is filed under the name uncultured bacterium. RNAcentral's name for it is "partial 16S ribosomal RNA". It matches the Rfam family "Bacterial small subunit ribosomal RNA", at positions 28 to 507 of the family's 1533-position model. The record is from RNAcentral.